UGGCAUACGGCUCAGUAACACGUAGUCAACAUGCCCAGGGGACGUGGAUAACCUCGGGAAACUGAGGAUAAACCGCGAUAGGCCAAGGUUUCUGGAAUGGACAAUGGCUGAAACCUAUAUGGCCCCUGGAUUGGACUGCGGCCGAUCAGGCUGUUGGUGAGGUAAUGGCCCACCAAACCUGUAACCGGUACGGGCUCUGAGAGGAGGAGCCCGGAGAUGGGCACUGAGACAAGGGCCCAGGCCCUAUGGGGCGCAGCAGGCGCGAAACCUCUGCAAUAGGCGAAAGCUUGACAGGGUUACUCUGAGUGAUGUCCGCUAAGGGCAUCUUUUGGCACUUCUAAAAAUAGUGUAGAAUAAGGGGUGGGCAAGUCUGGUGUCAGCCGCCGCGGUAAUACCAGCACCCCGAGUGGUCGGGACGAUUAUUGGGCCUAAAGCAUCCGUAGCCGGUUCUGCAAGUCUUCCGUUAAAUCCACCUGCUCAACAGAUGGGCUGCGGAGGAUACUACAGGGCUAGGAGGCGGGAGAGGCAAGCGGUACUCAGUGGGUAGGGGUAAAAUCCUCUGAUCCACUGAAGACCACCAGUGGCGAAGGCGGCUUGCCAGAACGCGCUCGACGGUGAGGGAUGAAAGCUGGGGGAGCAAACCGGAUUAGAUACCCGGGUAGUCCCAGCUGUAAACGAUGCAGACUCGGUGAUGGGUUGGCUUCGAGCCAACCCAGUGCCGCAGGGAAGCCGUUAAGUCUGCCGCCUGGGGAGUACGGUCGCAAGACUGAAACUUAAAGGAAUUGGCGGGGGAGCACCACAAGGGGUGAAGCCUGCGGUUCAAUUGGAGUCAACGCCGGA
This 840-nucleotide ribosomal RNA is filed under the name uncultured archaeon. Its description in RNAcentral is "bacterial SSU rRNA". It matches the Rfam family "Archaeal small subunit ribosomal RNA", at positions 79 to 922 of the family's 1478-position model. The record is from RNAcentral.